UACGAAGGGGGCUAGCGUUGCUCGGAAUCACUGGGCGUAAAGCGCGCGUAGGCGGCCCGGUAAGUCCGCUGUAAAAGUCAAAGGCUCAACCUUUGAAUGUCAGUGGAUACUGCCGGGCUAGAGUCCGGAAGAGGCGAGUGGAACUCCUGGUGUAGCGGUGGAAUGCGCAGAUAUCAGGAAGAACACCGACGGCGAAGGCGGCCCACUGGAUCGGUACUGACGCUGAGGUGCGAAAGCGUGGGGAGCAAACAGG
This 253-nucleotide ribosomal RNA is filed under the name uncultured bacterium. RNAcentral's name for it is "partial 16S ribosomal RNA". It matches the Rfam family "Bacterial small subunit ribosomal RNA", at positions 524 to 776 of the family's 1533-position model. The record is from RNAcentral.